UAGGAUAUAGUGUACAGGCACGUUUCAUUUACACUGAAAAAGUCUUUUUUAUAAAGUGUCCUAA
This 64-nucleotide transfer RNA is filed under the name Donax vittatus. Its description in RNAcentral is "tRNA-Val". The record is from RNAcentral. Lineage: Eukaryota; Metazoa; Mollusca; Bivalvia; Cardiida; Donacidae.